AAACAUCGCCUGCUGCAAAUAUAGUAGGUCUGUCCUGCCCAGUGAUAAUAAUUCAACGGCCGCGGUACCUUGACCGUGCAAAGGUAGCAUAAUCAUUUGCCUUUUAAUUAAAGGCUAGUAUGAAUGGAUCCACAAGAAUAAAACUGUCUCAUUUCUAAAAUAAAUAUAAACUGAUAUCUAAAUGAAGAAGUUUAGAUACUAAUAAAGGACAAGAAGACCCUAUAGAGCUUUAUUAUUAUUUAGACAUACUAAUAUAAUAAAUUGAUUGGGACAAUCUUAAGACAUAUAAACCUCUUAUAAUUUAAAUAUACUACACCCUAACUUGUAAAUGAAUAAGCUACCUUAGGGAUAACAGGCUAAUCUUACUAAAGAGAUCACAUUGACAGUAAGGAUUGGCACCUCGAUGUUGGCUUAGUGUAACUAUAGGGUGCAGCCGCCUUAUUAAGUUGGUUUGUUCAACCAUUAAAUCACUACGUGAU
This 479-nucleotide ribosomal RNA is filed under the name Laeonereis culveri. RNAcentral describes it as "partial large subunit ribosomal RNA". It matches the Rfam family "Bacterial large subunit ribosomal RNA", at positions 1811 to 2604 of the family's 2925-position model. The record is from RNAcentral. Lineage: Eukaryota; Metazoa; Annelida; Polychaeta; Phyllodocida; Nereididae.